Molecule: long non-coding RNA, 613 nt
Filed under: Homo sapiens (human)
Lineage: Eukaryota; Metazoa; Chordata; Mammalia; Primates; Hominidae
Description: lncAB174.1
Source: RNAcentral
UGUAUUAGGAGGAGAUAACUGAAUGAGGACAGCGGGGGCUGGGCCUUCCAUGGGCUCUAUUUCUUCUUCGCUAUGGAGCUGUGGAUGAGGUGGUGGAGAAGAUGCUUCCUUUGUUAGUAAAGGUGGAGGAGUCUCCUCCUCGCUGGCAGUUUGCUCUGGCAGCGCUACAAGUGAGGCCUUCUUUCGAUCUUCAGUCAGUCGAGGAGGGGAAGGAGACUUCGAUUUUUCCUUUAAGCCUUGUGAAGAUUUUAUUUCUCUUUCUUCCUCCUCAAGGGGAGAUGUUGUUUUCAUUUCCUUCUCCUGCUGCUGUCUGGCCAGAUGACUUUUUCUAGCCUCUUCCUGGGAUCUUGUAAAUCUCCCUCCUCUCUCUAACACCUCCUGUUCCUGGGAUCUUGUUUUGGGUCUCUCAUCCAUCAUCUCCUCUGGUUUUACUCUAGGUAUCUCUUCCCCUUCUUCCUUAAACUCUUUCAGGAUUGGUGCCUCCCUAGAUUUUUGUCCCUCAUCAUCACCUUCCUCUUCUUCAUCAUCUUCUUCCUCCUCCUCCUCCUCCUCUUCUUCCUCCUCUGUUUUCAAAUUUCGAUCUGCUCUGACCCUUAGGUUUCUGGAAGGUGUU